This 468-nucleotide ribosomal RNA is filed under the name uncultured bacterium. RNAcentral describes it as "partial 16S ribosomal RNA". It matches the Rfam family "Bacterial small subunit ribosomal RNA", at positions 28 to 507 of the family's 1533-position model. The record is from RNAcentral.
GACGAACGCUGGCGGCGUGCUUAACACAUGCGAGUCGAACGGAAAGGCCCUGCUUUUGUGGGGUGCUCGAGUGGCGAACGGGUGAGUAACACGUGAGUAACCUGCCCUUGACUUUGGGAUAACUUCAGGAAACUGGGGCUAAUACCGGAUAGGAGCUCCUGCUGCAUGGGGGGGGUUGGAAAGUGUCGGCGGUUGGGGAUGGACUCGCGGCUUAUCAGCUUGUUGGUGGGGUAGUGGCUUACCAAGGCUUUGACGGGUAGCCGGCCUGAGAGGGUGACCGGCGACAUGGGGACUGAGAUACGGACCAGACUGCUACGGGAGGCAGCAGUGGGGAAUAUUGCGCAAUGGGCGGAAGCCUGAUGCAGCAGCGCCGCGUGCGGGAUGACGGCCUUCGGGUUGUAAACCGCUUUCGCCUGUGACGAAGCGUGAGUGACGGUAAUGUGUAAAGAAGCACCGGCUAACUACGUG